GUAGGGUGCGAGCGUUAAUCGGAAUUACUGGGCGUAAAGCGUGCGCAGGCGGUUUUGUAAGCCAGAUGUGAAAGCCCCGGGCUCAACCUGGGAAUGGCAUUUGGGACUGCAAGGCUUGAGUGCGGCAGAGGAGACUGGAAUUCCUGGUGUAGCAGUGAAAUGCGUAGAUAUCAGGAGGAAUACCGAUGGCGAAGGCAGGUCUCUGGGCUGACACUGACGCUCAUGCACGAAAGCGUGGGGAGCAAACAGGAUUAGAUACCCUGGUAGUCCACGCCCUAAACGAUGUCGACUGGUUGUUGGGGGUUUGACACUCUCAGUAACGAAGCUAACGCGUGAAGUCGACCGCCUGGGGAGUACGGCCGCAAGGUU
This 369-nucleotide ribosomal RNA is filed under the name uncultured organism. RNAcentral's name for it is "bacterial SSU rRNA". It matches the Rfam family "Bacterial small subunit ribosomal RNA", at positions 527 to 895 of the family's 1533-position model. The record is from RNAcentral.